GGGCCUUGUGAAAUUUCCCUAUCCAUGCUGGCCAGUCAACUGGUGUUGCCACUGCACAGGUCUUGUUUAGUGUACACGGAGCCUUUGGGUACUGUGAGAGCUAUUUCUCCUGGAGGAGGUGGUUCAUGUUACCGGGACCUGGUUUGCUUCUCCUAAACAAUGUACACUGCAUUGCUGAAAGAAUGGUUCCUAUCAAAAAGACUGAUGAUAACAAGAGCUGGCGAGGAUGUGGAAUGCUGUGCACACUGUUGGAAGGAGCGUAAGUCAGCAAAGCUAUUACA
This is a non-coding RNA of Peromyscus maniculatus bairdii (prairie deer mouse), 281 nucleotides long. NCBI's taxonomy places the organism in Eukaryota, Metazoa, Chordata, Mammalia, Rodentia, Cricetidae. The record is from RefSeq and is a predicted model, not a curated record.